This 882-nucleotide long non-coding RNA is filed under the name Mus musculus (house mouse). Its description in RNAcentral is "predicted gene, 26782". Lineage: Eukaryota; Metazoa; Chordata; Mammalia; Rodentia; Muridae. The record is from RNAcentral.
AGAGGUCCUUCCGGGAGUCCAGCUGACACAGGUCUCGGCCAGGGCUCUACCUGCGCUCAGGAUUGGAAAAGCUGUGCGCAAUGAGAGGCGCGUUGGUUCUCCGCAACGGGGAGCAGAAACCGGCCUGGGUCAGCCAGUGGACUGGUUGGAAGCAGAGAACUGAAAGAAAACCAACACCCUAGUGAGGCCAAGGGAGAUUUUAAAGGCUGAAGCAGAAGGAUCUCAAGUUCAAGCCAGAUUCCUUAGGGAGCAUUUGCCUCCAUAAAAUAACCCUAACUGUUGUCAAGUGACAGUGAACUCCAGUGACCAUCAGACAAGGAGUGGUUGUACCAGCUUGCAAUCCGACCAGCAAAGGAAGAGCGUUCCUCCUUCACAUCCUCGCCAGCAUGUGCUGUCACUUGAGUUUUUGAUCUUAGCCAUUCUGAAGUUUUCCAGUUUCAUGAAGUCCCAUUUAUCAAUUCUUGAUCUUAGAGCCUGAGCCAUUGGAGUUCUGAUCAGGAAAUGUUCCCUUGUGCCAAGGAGUUCAAGGCUCUUUCCCACCUUUUCUUCUAUUGGAUUCAGUGUAUCUGGUUUUGUGUUGAGGUCCUUGAUCCACUUGUGUUGGGAGCCGCGCCCACAUUCGCCGUUACAAGAUGGCGCUGACAUCCUGUGUUCUAAGUGGUAAACAAAUAAUCUGCGCAUGUGCCAAGGGUUUUUAUGACUACUUGUGCUCUGCCUUCCCCGUGACGUCAACUCGGCCGAUGGGCUGCAGCCAAUCAGGGAGUGACACGUCCUAGGCGAAAUAUAACUCUCCUAAAAAAGGGACGGGGUUUCGUUUUCUCUCUCUCUUGCUUCUUGCACUCCUGCUCCUGAAGAUGUAAGCAAUAAAGUUUUGCCGCAGAA